This 157-nucleotide ribosomal RNA is filed under the name Fagonia pachyacantha. Its description in RNAcentral is "5.8 ribosomal RNA". It matches the Rfam family "5.8S ribosomal RNA". Rfam says of the family: 5.8S ribosomal RNA (5.8S rRNA) is a component of the large subunit of the eukaryotic ribosome. It is transcribed by RNA polymerase I as part of the 45S precursor that also contains 18S and 28S rRNA. Functionally, it is thought that 5.8S rRNA may be involved in ribosome translocation. Lineage: Eukaryota; Viridiplantae; Streptophyta; Magnoliopsida; Zygophyllales; Zygophyllaceae. RNAcentral also lists the same sequence under 2 other names. The record is from RNAcentral.
CAAAACGACUCUCGGCAACGGAUAUCUCGGCUCUCGCAUCGAUGAAGAACGUAGCGAAAUGCGAUACUUGGUGUGAAUUGCAGAAUCCAGCGAACCAUCGAGUCUUUGAACGCAAGUUGCGCUCGAAGCCUUCGGGCUAAGGGCACGUCUGCCUGGG